Molecule: non-coding RNA, 73 nt
Organism: Myotis lucifugus (little brown bat)
Lineage: Eukaryota; Metazoa; Chordata; Mammalia; Chiroptera; Vespertilionidae
Source: Rfam
GCUGUGGUGGCUCAGUGGGUUGAGCAUCGUCCCAUGAACCAAGAGGUCCUGGGUUCGAUUCCCAGUCAGGGCA